GUUUCAGGGCGGGGUGCAAUUCCCCACUGGCGGUAACGGCACUAGAGCACAAGGCUCUACAAAGCCGAAGUCCGCGAGCCGCAAACGCGGUUGAUCCGGUGAGAUUCCGGAACCAACGGUAACAGUCCGGACGGAAGAAA
RNAcentral lists this non-coding RNA (140 nucleotides) under chicken gut metagenome. RNAcentral's name for it is "FMN riboswitch (RFN element)". It matches the Rfam family "FMN riboswitch aptamer (RFN element)". From Rfam's summary of the family: The RFN element is a highly conserved domain that is found frequently in the 5'-untranslated regions of prokaryotic mRNAs that encode for flavin mononucleotide (FMN) biosynthesis and transport proteins. This element is a metabolite-dependent riboswitch that directly binds FMN in the absence of proteins. The record is from RNAcentral.